This 225-nucleotide long non-coding RNA is filed under the name Coffea arabica (coffee). Its description in RNAcentral is "long non-coding RNA (CARA_LNC002641)". Lineage: Eukaryota; Viridiplantae; Streptophyta; Magnoliopsida; Gentianales; Rubiaceae. The record is from RNAcentral.
GAAAAACUAAACCCAAAAAAAAGGUGCAAUCUUGCCGUUUCUCAGAACCCGAGAUUCAAUUCUUGACUUCACUUGGAUGUUGUGAAUUGGAGUUUCGAAUCUAGUCAGCUCAAUUUAAUCUUUUCCGUCUGAAAAUCGGUAUUUUCCCUGGGUUGUGGCGGUAAACAUGUCUUUGUUAUCGAGAUAAAGAUUAGAAUUAGGGAAAUGCCGAGCGUCGGUUUGAAA